Pungitius pungitius (ninespine stickleback) is the source of this 610-nucleotide long non-coding RNA. RefSeq lists it as uncharacterized. The record is from RefSeq and is a predicted model, not a curated record. Lineage: Eukaryota; Metazoa; Chordata; Actinopteri; Perciformes; Gasterosteidae. The transcript has 3 exons.
UACUUUAAAAUGAGGAGGACCUGCCACGGGAAGACAGAUUGGGUCCAUGUCAAGUUCAGGGGACAUGAAAUUAUUCACCCACAUCAGCAGGAUGGCAGUAGCUGUGGUGUGAUUGUCUUCAUGAUGGCAAAGGCAUUGAUGGAGGCCUUCCCCGCAAUACCGUUCAUGUCCUUUGGGACAAAAACAAAAGACAUGGUGCAGGAACGUCGCGACAUGGCUCUGGAAAUACUCAAUGCCUCAGGUGUGUCAGCCUUUCAUAUUUUUUCUAUUAUGACAAUGUACUAUAAAAUUCUAAAAUGUAAUAUUUUUUAUUAAUUUUUGACAUCGAAAACAACUGUGCAAUGUGUGCUGCCCAAAAGCCACCCAUUCCAGGGCCUGCAAUCACUGAAUGGAUUCAGUGUGAUAGUUGCAGCAGGUGGUUCCACGCAGACUGCCUGGGGAUCCAAAAAGAACAGCUGACACACAUUAAGAACAAUGAUUGGAUAUGCGCUUUGUGCAGUAAUUAAAUACGCAUUCAGUGUUUCUUAUGUUCUCGGUUUCUUUUUAUAAGCCUGUAUCACUGUGAGAACAGUAAAAUUAUUUGUAAUAAUAUGUAGUAGUAGUAGUAAUA